Molecule: non-coding RNA, 73 nt
Organism: Hyaena hyaena (striped hyena)
Lineage: Eukaryota; Metazoa; Chordata; Mammalia; Carnivora; Hyaenidae
Source: the annotation of a RefSeq genome assembly
GCCUGGCUGGCUCAGUCGGUAGAGCAUGUGACUCUUGAUCUCAGAAUCAUGGGUUCAAGUCCCACACUGGGCA